RNAcentral lists this long non-coding RNA (210 nucleotides) under Gallus gallus (chicken). The record is from RNAcentral. Lineage: Eukaryota; Metazoa; Chordata; Aves; Galliformes; Phasianidae.
GGGAAAUACCACAAGAGCAACAAACGGUGUUCAGUAAGGGAAGUAUAAAGUCCUGCAGCUGGGGAGGAAUGAGCCCAGGCAUCGGGACAUGCCUGGGACUACCUAUAAAGCAACUCUGCAAAACAGGGCCUGGGUGUCCUGGGGGACACAGAGCUGAACAUGAGCCAACAGUGUGCCUUUUUGCCACAAAGGCGGCAGAUUAUACCCUGG